This 210-nucleotide long non-coding RNA is filed under the name Prunus persica (peach). Its description in RNAcentral is "long non-coding RNA (PPER_LNC000614)". The record is from RNAcentral. Lineage: Eukaryota; Viridiplantae; Streptophyta; Magnoliopsida; Rosales; Rosaceae.
UGAUAUUGCAAUCUUUCUGAAGGAGCAUUACCUGAUGACAUUGGCUGCUUAUCCUCACUUAAGAGUUUAAACUUGAGUGGAAAUAAUUUUAUGAGGAUUCCAGAAAGCAUCUGUCAACUUACUAAGCGUAAAGAACUUAAAUUGGAUAAUUGUAGCAAGCUUCUAUCAUUGCCAAAACUUCCAUUAAGUUUACCAGAAGUAUCAGUUCUU